AUAAAUUUGGCAAUUAUUAACCCAACGAAAUGGAUUAUAAAAUAUGCAAAAUCGACGCAGCACUUUAUUUAACUUGCAGUUAAUUCAUGACACACUUAAAAGAUUAUUAAUUUAAAUUAACCACAAAUCACAAGUUCGCCGGUGUACGAAGGGGACGAAGAGCACAGAGCACGGAGAAAGAAAUUGCGGAUUUAAACAUUUUUAAAAAUCGCACGCACCACAAACCAGGC
Non-coding RNA from Drosophila melanogaster (fruit fly), 230 nucleotides. Lineage: Eukaryota; Metazoa; Arthropoda; Insecta; Diptera; Drosophilidae. The record is from Ensembl.